This 474-nucleotide ribosomal RNA is filed under the name uncultured bacterium. RNAcentral's name for it is "bacterial SSU rRNA". It matches the Rfam family "Bacterial small subunit ribosomal RNA", at positions 1017 to 1498 of the family's 1533-position model. The record is from RNAcentral.
CCUUCGGGAGCUUUUAUACAGGUGCUGCAGGGCUGUCGUCGGCUCGUGUCGUGAGAUGUUGGGUUAAGUCCCGCAACGAGCGCAACCCUCGUCACUAGUUACUAACGGUUCGGCCGAGGACUCUAGUGAGACUGCCUUCGUAAGGAGGAGGAAGGUGAGGACGACGUCAAGUCAUCAUGGCCCUUACGGCUAGGGCAACACACGUGCUACAAUGGCCAGGACAGUGAGAAGCGAUACCGCGAGGUGGAGCAAAUCUAUAAACCUGGUCUCAGUUCGGAUUGUAGUCUGCAACUCGACUACAUGAAGCUGGAAUCACUAGUAAUCGUAGAUCAGCUAUGCUACGGUGAAUACGUUCCCGGGUCUUGUACUCACCGCCCGUCACACCAUGGGAGUUGAUUUCACCCGAAGCGGGGAAGCUAAACUGGCUACCCUCCACGGUGGAAUCAGCGACUGGGGUGAAGUCGUAACAAGGUA